This is a non-coding RNA of Gloeopeniophorella convolvens, 96 nucleotides long. NCBI's taxonomy places the organism in Eukaryota, Fungi, Basidiomycota, Agaricomycetes, Russulales. The record is from the annotation of a GenBank genome assembly.
GGACCUUUAGCUCAAUCGGUAGAGCUUUGUACUUAUGAGGUUGCCUUGGCCUGCCUAUACAUGCAAGGGUCCCGAGUUCGAUUCUCGGAAGGUCCA